This 2527-nucleotide long non-coding RNA is filed under the name Zea mays. RNAcentral describes it as "long non-coding RNA (ZMAY_LNC000889)". Lineage: Eukaryota; Viridiplantae; Streptophyta; Magnoliopsida; Poales; Poaceae. The record is from RNAcentral.
CCAGGGGUUUGCCGUCUCUGUUAACCAGAAGAGAAAAAAAACCAACGAGUAUGCGCUGACGAUGUAUUCGCGCAGUCGAGAGAGAAGAAAGGAAGAGCAGAGAGAGAACGGGAGCGUUGCCGGGAGGGUGUUCAACGGUGCCGCACCCUGGACGUCCAGGGACUUUCCUGUGCUUGCGGCGUGGAGCGUUCUGGGCCUCCUCGCCGGGCGUUGAGGACUGCGCGGGCGCCGUCGUCCGGUUGGGUCGCAGACCAGGGCGUGCUCGAAGUGGUGAAAGACUGGAGUCGCAUCUCGAGCCCAGGAAGUCGGCGGCGCGCUUCGGUAGAACUUGUGCGGCGUAACUCGGUAAGUUUCCCCUACGAAUCUUCGCUCCUCCUCAGCGUAGCCUCGAGUUGGGGGCGCGACAAAUUGGAACGACGCGGGUUGCCACUUCGGCGUCGUGCGGUGUCGAGCUCGGGCUCACAUCUCAGUCCUUUCUAGAUUAGCGUGUCGCGCUUAGGGCUGCGGAGGGGCUGGCGCAUUUGCCAGGAUCGCCGGCGAGCCGAGCGUACGGGUCUGGGGUGCUCGCUCCGCCAUGGAACGACUGGAGGUUGACGACGACGCGUCCGUCGUUGGAUCCUGAAGGAGUGUGUGAGAUUUAUCCAAGGAAACGAUGAUCAUUGGUCGUUAGAUGUGAAUCGUAGGGCCACGAUCGCAUAGCAGGCGUACCGGUUCGACGUAAUUGGCUCAGGGCGUCGAUCUGCGGUUGAACGGCUCUGAUUUCUCCGCGUUAUCGAUCGUUGUGGACCACUGGUUAACAAUCCGAGGGCCCAGAAUACGUAUAGCCUCGUUGCCUUUGUAGUCUAAUCUUGGCACUUCGUUUGGGAUCGGACGGCUAGAUCUGUGCGGUAACGCUUCGCCGCAGAGAAAUUGCUAAAGAGACCUUGACAAACAUUUGAAUCAACCCGCCGUCCCUCGCGGUUGUACUUUGAGUCUUGUGGAUGUUUAUACCGGAGCCCCUGCACUCUUUAUAUAUUCUGCGCGCAGUCCAGACUGCAAAUAAAAUCAGAGAAAUUCAUUCUAAAUUCAUUUUUAAUACAAAAAUAAUGGUAGAAACUUGUAUAAAUCAUAGAAAAUGCAUACUAAAUCCUUUUUAGUUAAUUUCAGUUUCUAUAAUUUUAUAAUAUUAUUUUUAUCAUUUAAUACCACUGUUUUGACAUGAAAGUGACAUUAAAAUUUAUAUCCCAAUUAAUCUUGUACAAAACACAUAGAAUCUUUAGAAAAUCAUAACUCCUCUGUUUUAACUCCGAUUUGAUUCAUUCAAAUUGCGUUAGUCUCGUAGCAAUGCGUAGAUUAUUAUUAUUCAGUUUGUUCUUAUGUUUGGUGUGAUGUUAAUUUUAUCUAUACCAUGUUUGUUUGUAUUGCUACGACUAGCGCGAGGACACGUGUCAUCUAAAAAGCAAGCUGGCACCUGGAAUCUCAAGUGCCAGGCAAGUUGUGCCCUUGAUCACUUCUUUUACCCACUCAUGUUCUAAUUAAUCAUAAUGAUCUGCAUAGGUUAAUUUUGAUGGGACCCAAUAGGUUACCCUAGAUUGUUUAUCUCAUUACCUUGUUUACCCCUGAAUCACUUGGGUAGUUUGCUAUUGCUUUACAUGGAUUUGGGAUAAUUAUUUAUCAUAUCUAUGUACCAGUUAUUUUGUUAUUCUAUUUAUGUUCAUGUCAAGAUCAUUAAUGUUAAUUGGAACAUAGAGCUUAACUUGAGAAACACGUGCCACCACAAGGGUUUAUGGACGCCCUUGGCUGACUAAUUAGGAAAGCUAGUGGAGGACUACCUUACCCGAAAGGGGCAAGGGCAGUAGGGGAGUGGUCAGUGUAGGGAGGUCCUUGGUUGAUUUUGCUGCGAUGGCGGUCAGGCAAGAACCCUGCAUUGGAGCUUCCUAUAAACUGUAGCGGGUUUUAUAAAGCUAGUGGAACUUUGUAAAGGCCUCGUAGUGUUACCCUGCCUCGCCUCCUUGGUAGAGGUGUAUGGGAAGUCGCGAUCCCUUGGCAGAUGGGUAACAUGACUUGUGGGUAAAGGGUACCACCUCUGCAGAGUGUAAAACUGGUAUACUAGCCGAGCUCACGGUCAUGAGCAGCUCAGGACUCUCUGAUGAUUAAAUUAUGGAACUAAAUUCAAUUUGUCAUAUGCAUUGCAUCGCAGGUGAUGUUGUUACUUUUGUUCUACUACUUAAUUGGGUUGGUAUUUACUUAUACUUAGUAAUUGCUAAUAAAAUUUUGACCAACUUUAAAAGCAAUGCUCAACUCUAACCAUCCUCUUUGGUAAGCCUUACACUUCACGUGAGCUCCCACCUUUGGCGAGUUCAUGCACAUUAUUCCCCACAACUUGUUGAGCGAUGAACGUAUGUGAGCUCACUCUUGCUGUCUCACACCCCCCCCACAGGUCAAGAACAGGUACCGCAGGAUGAGGCGCAUGAAGGAUGCUGCGAUGAGUUCGUGAGAGAGAUCUAGGCCGUCGUCUCCCAGUCAACUUUGGGUUGCUGGACCGUUG